GACGAACGCUGGCGGCGUGCUUAACACAUGCAAGUCGAACGGACAGGCCCUGCUUUUGUGGGGUGCUCGAGUGGCGAACGGGUGAGUAACACGUGAGUAACCUGCCCUUGACUUUGGGAUAACUUCAGGAAACUGGGGCUAUUACCGGAUAGGAGCUCCUGCUGCAUGGUGGGGGUUGGUAAGUUUCGGCGGUUGGGGAUGUACUCGCGGCGUAUCAGCUUGAUGGGGGGGUAGUGGCUUUCCCAGGCUUUGACGGGUAGCCGGCCUGAGAGGGUGAGCGGCCACAUUGGGACUGAGAGACGGCCCAGACUCCUACGGGAGGCAGCAGUGGGGAAUAUUGCAGAAUGGGCGGAAGCCUGAUGCAGCAACUCCGCGGGCGGGAUGACGGCCUUCGGGUGGUAAACCGCUGUCGCCGUUGACGAAGCGUGAGUGACGGUAAUGGGUAAAGAAGCACCGGCUAACUACGUG
RNAcentral lists this ribosomal RNA (468 nucleotides) under uncultured bacterium. RNAcentral's name for it is "partial 16S ribosomal RNA". It matches the Rfam family "Bacterial small subunit ribosomal RNA", at positions 28 to 507 of the family's 1533-position model. The record is from RNAcentral.